GCUGCUGCAUGUUGCAAAGCAACGCCCUGUGUGUUCCUCCAGACCAGUGAGCAAAAUGCAAUACCCGAGAAGAUACAAGGAGCCUGCGAGAUGUCCUGCUUUGCUCUCGUGAGGAGAGAGCAAACCAAGGAAAUCAGGAGUUAGAAAAAUAAACAAAUAAAGCAAAAUUAAGUGUAUGGAACAUUAACCUUAACUCCAUAUGCGGAAACAGAAGAAAAACAUGGGACAUGUCAAGUAUAAAUGCAUAUUUCAUGCAGCAGGUGCUCUGCAAUGGCUUCUGUGGAAGUGAUAAUCAAAUUUCCUGACUGCAAACCAGGUAAGGUCGUGCACAAGCAACUCUUCUG
Molecule: long non-coding RNA, 344 nt
Filed under: Gallus gallus (chicken)
Lineage: Eukaryota; Metazoa; Chordata; Aves; Galliformes; Phasianidae
Source: RNAcentral